CGUGUAGGCGGCCAAGUAAGUCUGAUGUGAAAGCCCGGGGCUUAACCCCGGAAGUGCAUUGGAUACUGUUUGGCUAGAGGGCGAGAGGGGGAAGCGGAAUUCCUGGUGUAGGGGUGAAAUCCGUAGAUAUCAGGAGGAACAUCGGUGGCGAAGGCGGCUUCCUGGCUCGUUUCUAACGCUGAGACGCGAAAGCGUGGGUAGCAAACAGGAUUAGAUACCCUGGUAGUCC
Molecule: ribosomal RNA, 229 nt
Filed under: uncultured bacterium
Lineage: Bacteria
Description: partial 16S ribosomal RNA
Rfam family: Bacterial small subunit ribosomal RNA
Source: RNAcentral